RNAcentral lists this ribosomal RNA (450 nucleotides) under uncultured bacterium. RNAcentral describes it as "bacterial SSU rRNA". It matches the Rfam family "Bacterial small subunit ribosomal RNA", at positions 354 to 796 of the family's 1533-position model. The record is from RNAcentral.
GUGGGGAAUAUUGGACAAUGGGCGAAAGCCUGAUCCAGCCAUGCCGCGUGUGUGAAGAAGGUCUUCGGAUUGUAAAGCACUUUAAGAUGGGAGGAAGGGCAGUAAGCUAAUACCUUGCUGUUUUGACGUUACCGACAGAAUAAGCACCGGCUAACUUCGUGCCAGCAGCCGCGGUAACACGAAGGGUGCAAGCGUUAAUCGGAAUUACUGGGCGUAAAGCGCGAGUAGGUGGUUUUGUAAGUUGAAGGUGAAAUCCCCGGGCUCAACCUGGGAACUGCAUCCAAAACUGCAUGACUAGAGUACGGAAGAGGGUAGUGGAAUUUCCUGUGUAGCGGUGAAAUGCGUAGAUAUAGGAAGGAAAACCAGUGGCGAAGGCGACUACCUGGACUGAUACUGACACUGAGGUGCGAAAGCGUGGGGAGCAAACAGGAUUAGAAACCCGAGUAGUCC